Molecule: ribosomal RNA, 253 nt
Filed under: uncultured bacterium
Lineage: Bacteria
Description: partial 16S ribosomal RNA
Rfam family: Bacterial small subunit ribosomal RNA
Source: RNAcentral
UACGGAGGGUGCGAGCGUUGCUCGGAAUCACUGGGCGUAAAGCGUACGCAGGCUGUUUCGUAAGUCGGGUGUGAAAGCCCGGGGCUCAACCCCGGAAUUGCGCCCGAGACUGCGGAGCUUGAAUGCGGGAGAGGGAAGCGGAAUUCCUGGUGUAGAGGUGAAAUUCGUAGAUAUCAGGAGGAACACCGGUGGCGAAAGCGGGUUCCUGGCCCGACAUUGACGCUCAUGUACGAGAGCGUGGGGAGCAAACAGG